CGGCAGACGGGUGAGUAACGCGUGGGAACAUACCUUUUGGUUCGGAACAACACAGGGAAAACUUGUGCUAAUACCGGAUAAGCCCUUACGGGGAAAGAUUUAUCGCCGAAAGAUUGGCCCGCGUCUGAUUAGCUAGUUGGUGAGGUAAUGGCUCACCAAGGCGACGAUCAGUAGCUGGUCUGAGAGGAUGAUCAGCCACAUUGGGACUGAGACACGGCCCAA
This 222-nucleotide ribosomal RNA is filed under the name uncultured bacterium. RNAcentral describes it as "partial 16S ribosomal RNA". It matches the Rfam family "Bacterial small subunit ribosomal RNA", at positions 96 to 334 of the family's 1533-position model. The record is from RNAcentral.